ACUCAAAUGAAUUGACGGGGGCCCGCACAAGCAGUGGAGCAUGUGGUUUAAUUCGAUGCAACGCGAAGAACCUUACCCAGGUUAGAAGUGCAGGGGAAGAUGCCAGAGAUGGCAUUGUCCGAAAGGACCGCUGCAUAGGUGCUGCAUGGCUGUCGUCAGCUCGUGCCGUGAGGUGUUGGGUUAAGUCCCGCAACGAGCGCAACCCUUAUCAUUAGUUGCCAACACGAGAGGUGGGGACUCUAAUGAGACUGCCUAGGUUAACUAGGAGGAAGGUGAGGAUGACGUCAAGUCCGCAUGGCCUUUAUGUCUGGGGCUACACACGUGCUACAAUGGUCGGUACAGAAGGCAGCGAAGUUGAAAAAUGGAGCAAAUCCCCAAAGCCGAUCUCAGUUCAGAUUGUAGUCUGCAACUCGACUACAUGAAGUUGGAAUUGCUAGUAAUGACGUGUCAGCAACAACGUCGUGAAUACGUUCCCGGGCCUUGUACACACCGCCCGU
Molecule: ribosomal RNA, 497 nt
Filed under: uncultured bacterium
Lineage: Bacteria
Description: partial 16S ribosomal RNA
Rfam family: Bacterial small subunit ribosomal RNA
Source: RNAcentral